AGGCUAAAGGAAGGCUUAAAUUCAUGAACAUUGCGUCCACAAUAGAUUCGUAAGCAGAGAGUUAUGAGGCCAAAUAGGCCAUUUUUUUCUGGCUGGAUUUAACCCUUGAGCUGUCACCUGUGGUUCCAAAUGGCUGCUUCAAAUUAUCUUUCCUCAUCCCUGAAAACCCCCUGCACCAAACGGCUUUGAUUACCGUCUCCGUCUAUUUCUGUUGUCCUAAAAGGAACAAAUGUGACAAAUUAAAGAAGUGGGUAAACACUA
Long non-coding RNA from Leopardus geoffroyi (Geoffroy's cat), 261 nucleotides. RefSeq lists it as uncharacterized. Lineage: Eukaryota; Metazoa; Chordata; Mammalia; Carnivora; Felidae. The transcript is spliced from 2 exons. The record is from RefSeq and is a predicted model, not a curated record.